Amphiprion ocellaris (clown anemonefish) is the source of this 1502-nucleotide long non-coding RNA. RefSeq lists it as uncharacterized. NCBI's taxonomy places the organism in Eukaryota, Metazoa, Chordata, Actinopteri, Pomacentridae. The record is from RefSeq and is a predicted model, not a curated record. The transcript has 2 exons.
UCCAGCAACAGGUGACUGACUGGCCAUAGCUGCCCCGGAGAAAAUGUGCGGGGACCUGAAACAGACAGCUGACAAAGCAAACUUCCUAGGCAGACAAAUCGGCCUGGAGCCAGUUAAUUCGGAAAUAUGUACUCCAGUUCAACAUAACACUGCAGGAACUUCAAGUUAAUGACCCAGUAAUGAGUGGCACAGCUAUUAUGUGUCUAGCGUGAGUCAAAGUUGCUAACUGACGUUAGCAGGGCAGCGGAGUUAGCCUCCCUGAUAAGCUCGUAGCUAUCCAGCUGUGUCCAUCGGUCCAUCACCACUAGAAGCAGCAACACCAACAGUGAAAAGAACCGGAGAUAACAAAGCAGACAAACGCCAUAUUCCCCGAGUGAAGCCAAAAGGAGGCAGUAACCCGCCCGGGAGUUACUGUAAAUUAUCCGGGGGAAACUGGAAGAGGACAGAGGCUCCGGAGCAGCUUCCCCCUUCUUCCUGUCAUGGACAAAGUCUCAACGUUAUGGGAGACAAACGACAAAACGAGACCGAAACACAGCAAUCAACAAAGUGCAGUGGGGAACAGUUGGAGGCGCACACUCAGCUCAGACCGGCUUCAGGACUGUUCAUUCAACUGGAGUAGUGACAAAACUACAAGAUCCCAACAUGUGCACUGACACUUAUGUAUAUGUGGUCUUAUUUUUCUGUGAAAGGACUUUAUUCCCUAACAGUCAAAAUGACAGUGUGUAAAUGCAGAUUUCAACAUGGAUCCAUGCAUUCAUACCAAUUUGAAUGAUUUCCAGCAUAUACUUUAUUACAUAUAUAGAGAAGUCCAGUGCUAAAGAUGCACAUUCCAAGUAUCAUAUGCACAUUUUCUGCUUUUACAAUACCAAGUCUAAGAACACUUAAUGCAGCUUCAAAUAUUGAGUGAGAUUUGACAACUGCAUAGUAUGGAGGGGAAAAAACCUUUAAAAUCGAAUAUUGUGAAUAUUUGUCACAGCUUUGGAAAUAAUUAUUAAACCAUCCGAAGUGGUUAAAUAACUAUAUUUUAUAAAAGGCAUGAAAAAAGACCUAGAAUAAUCCAAUACAUGCAAUAAAUGUUUAAAAUUAUGGUGUACUGAAAUGGUAAAAAAAAAUUCAGUGAUGAAACAGUGAUGGCCGAAAACAAAUUUUGAAUCGUUAUUUUUUUGCAUAAGUUGUAUACAUAAACAGAUAAUUCAAACAAAAGAAAAUUGUGAGAUGACCAGAAGAUAGUCAUCUUGGUGUUUAAUGGAGAUGGACAACAAAGAGCCAUCACUAACUGGCUUGAAAUCAGCAAAGCAGCUGUCCCUUGCACCCUUAAGAAGGAAGCAUAGUGUGGCUCCACCAAAAAUACAAAGGAAGAGGGAGAAAACAGUGGUCUAAUAAUUAAUACUCCAAAGCUGUGUAUUAACGUGACUUUAAACCAGGCAUUAUUAGGUCCUGUGACUAAUGUUGUCUUGCAUUGCAGUUUCCAUCUAUUAAAGUUAAAAUGUAUUUGUUAUGAG